AGACGGUGUUACGGCGCCACCCAGCGGUCAACCAUGUGCUAUCCAGCAGCCGGCUGCAGUCUGUUAACUAACAGCAGAGCUGCUGGAGACCCCACCACCACUGCAGACCCCCCACCACCUCCCUCCCUUCUACAGAUCUCACCAAACCACCACCACUGCAGACCCCCCCUCUACAGAUUUGACCAAACCAACAAUUAUUCUUUCUGUUUCAGAAAAUGGUUAAAGGGUUACACUUUAGAUUUCUGUUAUAGAUACUCUAUUUUAGCAAUCUAUAGGCAAUCUAACUGUUCAGCUUGAUUUAGGUGUUGUCAGUGUGUCUUUGCUAUCGUAACAGCUGGAAAAGUACACCUUGCGCAGCUCAAAACUCAAAAAAGGCAUGCACUAAUUCUCUUAAUUAAUCAUGAGAGCUAGAGGAAAAAGGUAUGUGAACUCUUGUGUUAUGGACUUCAAGCAAACCUGGAGUCCUGCUAGUAUGGAGGUUCAGACUAGAGCUACUUUUACUCAAAAAAAAAAACCACUCAAAUCUUUUGAGUUUGCCCUGCUCCAGAAGCAUAUGUGUAUGUGAGACUUGCCAUGCCAAAAAGAGCUUUCAGAGGAUCUAUGAUCAAAGGUUUUUGAUUUACAUAAAGCAGGAAAGUGUUAUAAAGUGAUUUUAGAGAUUUAUAAAAUCAUCAUUCUACCAUAAGGCAAAAAAUCUACAAAUAGAGACAAUUUGUUACCAGUAAAAAUUACCCCAAGAGCACAAGGGAGACUCAUCAAUGAGGUAAAGAAACGUGGUAGACAUAAGACAGAAUAUAAUGUGACUGUAGGAGGUUAAAAAUACUCAUAUCCCAACAUCUGUGGAAGUUUUAAAACUGAACUUUGUCAGGAUACAAAUGUGAUUUUAACACUGUAGAUUUUACUGUGUAACAGGUUCUUUUUCUGUCUGAAAACCCAGCCAACUACCCGUCCACAGAGCAGGAGCAUCUGCUCCAGCGGAGGACGAGGAGCCGAGUUUAGAGUCUGUAUCAAAAUUCAAUUAUACACGGCAAAGGCUGACACUAAUGGGCUCCGAGUUCAGUAGUGAAACACACUCCUUAUCACUCAAUUACGCUCCGGCAUUCGAUUACACCGCGGCCUCGGA
This 1123-nucleotide long non-coding RNA is filed under the name Astyanax mexicanus (Mexican tetra). RNAcentral's name for it is "lncRNA (ENSAMXG00005020450.1)". The record is from RNAcentral. Lineage: Eukaryota; Metazoa; Chordata; Actinopteri; Characiformes; Acestrorhamphidae.